GAUGAACGCUGGCGGCGUGCUUAACACAUGCAAGUCGAACGGUGAAGGCGGAGCUUGCUCUGCUGGAUCAGUGGCGAACGGGUGAGUAACACGUGAGCAAUCUGCCCCUGACUCUGGGAUAAGCGCUGGAAACGGCGUCUAAUACUGGAUACGAGCUGCGAAGGCAUCUUCAGCAGCUGGAAAGAAUUUCGGUCAGGGAUGAGCUCGCGGCCUAUCAGCUUGUUGGUGAGGUAAUGGCUCACCAAGGCGUCGACGGGUAGCCGGCCUGAGAGGGUGACCGGCCACACUGGGACUGAGACACGGCCCAGACUCCUACGGGAGGCAGCAGUGGGGAAUAUUGCACAAUGGGCGCAAGCCUGAUGCAGCAACGCCGCGUGAGGGACGACGGCCUUCGGGUUGUAAACCUCCUUUAGCAGGGAAGAAGCGAAAGUGACGGUACCUGCAGAAAAAGCGCCGGCUAACUACGUG
RNAcentral lists this ribosomal RNA (468 nucleotides) under uncultured bacterium. RNAcentral's name for it is "partial 16S ribosomal RNA". It matches the Rfam family "Bacterial small subunit ribosomal RNA", at positions 28 to 507 of the family's 1533-position model. The record is from RNAcentral.